CACUGACGCCGGGCCCCUCUGGCGGUGGGUUUCCCACCGCGAUGUCGGAGUCAGCUG
The sequence is a regulatory RNA element, 57 nucleotides long. It matches the Rfam family "terC RNA". The record is from Rfam.